UGGCUCAGGAUGAACGCUAGCGGGAGGCCUAACACAUGCAAGCCGAGCGGUAUUUGUUCUUCGGAACAGAGAGAGCGGCGUACGGGUGCGGAACACGUGUGCAACCUGCCUUUAUCAGGGGGAUAGCCUUUCGAAAGGAAGAUUAAUACCCCAUAAUAUAUUAAGUGGCAUCACUUGAUAUUGAAAACUCCGGUGGAUAGAGAUGGGCACGCGCAAGAUUAGAUAGUUGGUAGGGUAACGGCCUACCAAGUCAGUGAUCUUUAGGGGGCCUGAGAGGGUGAUCCCCCACACUGGUACUGAGACACGGACCAGACUCCUACGGGAGGCAGCAGUGAGGAAUAUUGGACAAUGGGUGAGAGCCUGAUCCAGCCAUCCCGCGUGAAGGACGACGGCCCUAUGGGUUGUAAACUUCUUUUGUAUAGGGAUAAACCUUUCCACGUGUGGAAAGCUGAAGGUACUAUACGAAUAAGCACCGGCUAACUCCGUGCCAGCAGCCGCGGUAAUACGGAGGGUGCAAGCGUUAUCCGGAUUUAUUGGGUUUAAAGGGUCCGUAGGCGGAUCUGUAAGUCAGUGGUGAAAUCUCACAGCUUAACUGUGAAACUGCCAUUGAUACUGCAGGUCUUGAGUAAAGUAGAAGUGGCUGGAAUAAGUAGUGUAGCGGUGAAAUGCAUAGAUAUUACUUAGAACACCAAUUGCGAAGGCAGGUCACUAUGUUUUAACUGACGCUGAUGGACGAAAGCGUGGGGAGCGAACAGGAUUAGAUACCCUGGUAGUCCACGCCGUAAACGAUGCUAACUCGUUUUUGGGGCUUCGGCUUCAGAGACUAAGCGAAAGUGAUAAGUUAGCCACCUGGGGAGUACGUUCGCAAGAAUGAAACUCAAAGGAAUUGACGGGGGCCCGCACAAGCGGUGGAUUAUGUGGUUUAAUUCGAUGAUACGCGAGGAACCUUACCAAGGCUUAAAUGGGAAUUGAUCGGUUUAGAAAUAGAUCUUCCUUCGGGCAAUUUUCAAGGUGCUGCAUGGUUGUCGUCAGCUCGUGCCGUGAGGUGUUAGGUUAAGUCCUGCAACGAGCGCAACCCCUGUCACUAGUUGCCAUCAUUAAGUUGGGGACUCUAGUGAGACUGCCUACGCAAGUAGAGAGGAAGGUGGGGAUGACGUCAAAUCAUCACGGCCCUUACGCCUUGGGCCACACACGUAAUACAAUGGCCGGUACAGAGGGCAGCUACACAGCGAUGUGAUGCAAAUCUCGAAAGCCGGUCUCAGUUCGGAUUGGAGUCUGCAACUCGACUCUAUGAAGCUGGAAUCGCUAGUAAUCGCGCAUCAGCCAUGGCGCGGUGAAUACGUUCCCGGGCCUUGUACACACCGCCCGUCAAGCCAUGGAAGUCUGGGGUACCUGAAGUCGGUGACCGUAAAAGGAGCUGCCUAGGGUAAAACAGGUAACUAGGGUAAGC
Molecule: ribosomal RNA, 1450 nt
Filed under: uncultured Chryseobacterium sp.
Lineage: Bacteria; Pseudomonadati; Bacteroidota; Flavobacteriia; Flavobacteriales; Weeksellaceae
Description: bacterial SSU rRNA
Rfam family: Bacterial small subunit ribosomal RNA
Source: RNAcentral